RNAcentral lists this small nuclear RNA (78 nucleotides) under Octodon degus (degu). The record is from RNAcentral. Lineage: Eukaryota; Metazoa; Chordata; Mammalia; Rodentia; Octodontidae.
CCCUUAAUGAAACAGAGAAGAUUAACAUGGCUCCUGUGCAAGGAUGACAGGCAAAUUAAUGAUGUGCUCCAUAGUUUU